This 67-nucleotide ribosomal RNA is filed under the name uncultured bacterium. RNAcentral's name for it is "partial 16S ribosomal RNA". The record is from RNAcentral.
CCGGUUUCGACCCUAACCGACGGAAGGGAGGGCGGGACGACCCAACGGUGAGAUUCAUGAUGGGGUG